Molecule: non-coding RNA, 580 nt
Filed under: Symbiobacterium thermophilum
Lineage: Bacteria; Bacillati; Bacillota; Clostridia; Eubacteriales; Symbiobacteriaceae
Description: bacterial LSU rRNA
Rfam family: Bacterial large subunit ribosomal RNA
Source: RNAcentral
GGCAAGGCUCGUCCGCUCAGGGUAAGUCGGGACCUAAGCCGAGGCCGGAAGGCGUAGGCGAUGGGAAACAGGUUGAUAUUCCUGUACCACCGAAGCUCGCCAGGACCGAGGCGGGGACGCAGAAGGCUAGGGGGACCCGGGCGUUGGUUGACCCGGGGCAAGCGGGUAGGCUGGCCCGGUAGGGAAGUCCGCCGGGCUAAAGCGGAGCCGUGAUGCCGACCGAAUAAAGUAGGGAAGCCCCUGACGCCACGCUGCCAAGAAAAGCCGCUAGGGAGAGCGUAGGUGCCCGUACCGGAAACCGACACAGGUAGGCGGGGAGAGAAUCCUCAGGUGCGCGGGAGAACUCUCGCCAAGGAACUCGGCAAAUUGCACCCGUAACUUCGGGAGAAGGGUGGCUCGCCGGGGUGAGCGGAGAGACGCCGCAGAGCUCUGGUGAGUUGCAGAGGAGAGGCCCAAGCGACUGUUUACCACAAACACAGGUCAGUGCUAAGCCGAAAGGCGACGUAUACUGGCUGACGCCUGCCCGGUGCUGGAAGGUUAAGGGGAACGGUCAGGCUGAGGCCGAAGCCGUGAACCGAAG